Molecule: ribosomal RNA, 250 nt
Filed under: uncultured bacterium
Lineage: Bacteria
Description: partial 16S ribosomal RNA
Rfam family: Bacterial small subunit ribosomal RNA
Source: RNAcentral
UACAGAGGGGGCAAGCGUUAUUCGGAAUUAUUGGGCGUAAAGGGCGCGUAGGCGGUUUUUUAAGUGAGAUGUGCAAUCCCCGAGCUUAACUUGGGAACUGCAUCUCAGACUGGAAGGCUAGAGUACUGGAGAGGGUGGUAGAAUUCCACGUGUAGCGGUGAAAUGCGUAGAGAUGUGGAGGAAUACCAGUGGCGAAGGCGGCCACCUGGACAGUAACUGACGCUGAGGCGCGAAAGUGUGGGUAGCAAAC